RNAcentral lists this ribosomal RNA (497 nucleotides) under uncultured bacterium. RNAcentral describes it as "partial 16S ribosomal RNA". It matches the Rfam family "Bacterial small subunit ribosomal RNA", at positions 28 to 507 of the family's 1533-position model. The record is from RNAcentral.
GAUGAACGCUGGCGACGUGCCUAAUACAUGCAAGUCGAGCGAACGGACGAGAAGCUUGCUUCUCUGAUGUUAGCGGCGGACGGGUGAGUAACACGUGGAUAACCUACCUAUAAGACUGGGAUAACUUCGGGAAACCGGAGCUAAUACCGGAUAAUAUUUUGAACCGCAUGGUUCAAAAGUGAAAGACGGUCUUGCUGUCACUUAUAGAUGGAUCCGCGUUGCAUUAGCUAGUUGGUAAGGUAACGGCUUACCAAGGCAACGAUGCAUAGCCGACCUAAGAGGGUGAUCGGCCACACUGGAACUGAGACACGGUCCAGACUCCUACGGGAGGCAGCAGUAGGGAAUCUUCCGCAAUGGGCGAAAGCCUGACGGAGCAACGCCGCGUGAGUGAUGAAGGUCUUCGGAUCGUAAAACUCUGUUAUUAGGGAAGAACAUAUGUGUAAGUAACUGUGCACAUCUUGACGGUACCUAAUCAGAAAGCCACGGCUAACUACGUG